UACGUAGGCGGUUUAUUAAGUCAGAUGUGAAAGCCCCGGGCUUAACCUGGGAACUGCAUUUGAUACUGGUAAACUAGAGUAUGGUAGAGGGGGGUAGAAUUCCUAGUGUAGCGGUGAAAUGCGUAGAUAUUAGGAGGAAUACCAGUGGCGAAGGCGGCCCCCUGGACCAAUACUGGCGCUGAGGUACGAAAGCGUGGGUAGCGAACA
Molecule: ribosomal RNA, 207 nt
Filed under: uncultured bacterium
Lineage: Bacteria
Description: partial 16S ribosomal RNA
Rfam family: Bacterial small subunit ribosomal RNA
Source: RNAcentral